UCUCUUGGUCCAAUUAGAGGAAGUAAAAGUCGUAACAAGGUCUCCGUAGGUGAACCUGCGGAGGGAUCAUUACACAAAUAUGAAGGCGGGCUGGAACCUCUCGGGGUUACAGCCUUGCUGAAUUAUUCACCCUUGUCUUUUGCGUACUUCUUGUUUCCUUGGUGGGUUCGCCCACCACUAGGACAAACAUAAACCUUUUGUAAUUGCAAUCAGCGUCAGUAACAAAUUAAUAAUUACAACUUUCAACAACGGAUCUCUUGGUUCUGGCAUCGAUGAAGAACGCAGCGAAAUGCGAUAAGUAGUGUGAAUUGCAGAAUUCAGUGAAUCAUCGAAUCUUUGAACGCACAUUGCGCCCUUUGGUAUUCCAAAGGGCAUGCCUGUUCGAGCGUCAUUUGUACCCUCAAGCUUUGCUUGGUGUUGGGCGUCUUGUCUCUAGCUUUGCUGGAGACUCGCCUUAAAGUAAUUGGCAGCCGGCCUACUGGUUUCGGAGCGCAGCACAAGUCGCACUCUCUAUCAGCAAAGGUCUAGCAUCCAUUAAGCCUUUUUUUCAACUUUUGACCUCGGAUCAGUAGGGAUACCCGCUGAACUUAAGCAUAUCAUAGGCGGGAGGAA
This 612-nucleotide ribosomal RNA is filed under the name Alternaria sp. OTU025 AN-2016. RNAcentral describes it as "eukaryotic LSU rRNA". The stretch from base 238 to 391 matches the Rfam family "5.8S ribosomal RNA". Lineage: Eukaryota; Fungi; Ascomycota; Dothideomycetes; Pleosporales; Pleosporaceae. The record is from RNAcentral.